RNAcentral lists this ribosomal RNA (375 nucleotides) under uncultured Glomeraceae. RNAcentral's name for it is "LSU rRNA". Lineage: Eukaryota; Fungi; Glomeromycota; Glomeromycetes; Glomerales; Glomeraceae. The record is from RNAcentral.
UUGAAAGGGAAACGAUUGAAGUCAGUCAUACCAACGGGAAAUCAACCUUUUGAGCUUGGUCUCGUGGGUUUUGAAGAGUUUCAAAGCCUUCGGAUUCGCGAGUUUGGGAUCUCUUGGUGUACUUUUUCGUACGGUUAGUCAACAUCGGUUUUGAAUGUCAUAAAAUGACUGGAGGAAUGUAGCUUCGAUCUCGUAUUGAAGUGUUAUAGCCUUUGGUAGAUGUGAUGUUUGAGACCGAGGAUUGCAACGGAUACCCUUCAGGGCUAUUCGUCUGAUCUCUGAUACGUUGCCUUGAUGUUGAAAGCUUGCUUAUGAUGUUAGGGUAUUACGGUCAAAAGGUUAGAACGAAUUACAUUCGUUAAGGAUGUUGACGUA